GACGAACGCUGGCGGCGUGCCUAACACAUGCAAGUCGAGCGGAGUAUAUAAAGUAGCUUGCUACAUGAUAUACUUAGCGGCGGACGGGUGAGUAACGCGUGGGAAACCUGCCUUGUAGAGGGGGAUAGCCUCGGGAAACCGGGAUUAAUACCCCAUAAAACUCUAAUACUGCAUGGUAUGUGAGUCAAAGCAUUAGUGCUACAAGAUGGUCCCGCGUCCCAUUAGCUAGUUGGUGAGAUAACAGCCCACCAAGGCGACGAUGGGUAGCCGACCUGAGAGGGUGAUCGGCCACACUGGGACUGAGACACGGCCCAGACACCUACGGGUGGCAG
This 332-nucleotide ribosomal RNA is filed under the name uncultured Bacillota bacterium. RNAcentral's name for it is "bacterial SSU rRNA". It matches the Rfam family "Bacterial small subunit ribosomal RNA", at positions 28 to 351 of the family's 1533-position model. The record is from RNAcentral. Lineage: Bacteria; Bacillati; Bacillota.